UAGAGUUUGAUCCUGGCUCAGGAUGAACGCUGGCGGCGUGCUUAACACAUGCAAGUCGAACGGAGUUAUCAUUUUUGAAGCGAUUAGCUUGCUAAGAGUGGAAAAGUUGAUAACUUAGUGGCGGACGGGUGAGUAACGCGUGGGUAACCUGCCUUACACAGGGGGAUAACACUUAGAAAUAGGUGCUAAUACCGCAUAAGCGCACAGUCCCGCAUGGGACAGAGUGAAAAACAUUAGUGGUGUAAGAUGGACCCGCGUCUGAUUAGCUGGUUGGCGGGGUAACGGCCCACCAAGGCGACGAUCAGUAGCCGGCCUGAGAGGGUGGACGGCCACAUUGGGACUGAGACACGGCCCAAACUCCUACGGGAGGCAGCAGUGGGGGAUAUUGGACAAUGGGGGAAACCCUGAUCCAGCGACGCCGCGUGAGUGAAGAAGUAUUUCGGUAUGUAAAGCUCUAUCAGCAGGGAGGAAAGAAAUGACGGUACCUGAGUAAGAAGCCCCGGCUAACUACGUG
Molecule: ribosomal RNA, 514 nt
Filed under: uncultured Eubacteriales bacterium
Lineage: Bacteria; Bacillati; Bacillota; Clostridia; Eubacteriales
Description: bacterial SSU rRNA
Rfam family: Bacterial small subunit ribosomal RNA
Source: RNAcentral